Molecule: ribosomal RNA, 830 nt
Filed under: Salmonella enterica subsp. enterica serovar Derby
Lineage: Bacteria; Pseudomonadati; Pseudomonadota; Gammaproteobacteria; Enterobacterales; Enterobacteriaceae
Description: partial 23S ribosomal RNA
Rfam family: Bacterial large subunit ribosomal RNA
Source: RNAcentral
GGUUAAGCGAAUAAGCGUACACGGUGGAUGCCUAGGCAAUCAGAGGCGAUGAAGGACGUGCUAAUCUGCGAAAAGCGUCGGUAAGGUGAUAUGAACCGUUAUACCCGACGAUAUCCGAAUGGGGAAACCCAGUAUCCAAUGGAUACUAUCAUUAACUGAAUCCAUAGGUUAAUGAGGCGAACCGGGAGAACUGAAACAUCUCAGUACCCCGAGGAAAAGAAAUCAACCGAGAUUCCCCUAGUAGCGGCGAGCGAACGGGGAGCAGCCCAGAGUCUUAAUCAAUAGCAGUGUCAGGAGAACGGUCUGGAAAGUCCGGCAGUAAAGGGUGAUAGCCCCGUAUCUGAAGAUGCUGUUGUUGUGAACUCGACGAGUAGGGCGGGACACGUGUUAUCCUGUCUGAAUAUGGGGGGACCAUCCUCCAAGGCUAAAUACUCCUGAUUGACCGAUAGUGAACCAGUACCGUGAGGGAAAGGCGAAAAGAACCCCGGCGAGGGGAGUGAAAAAGAACCUGAAACCGUGUACGUACAAGCAGUAGGAGCCCCAUCACUCAAGUGCCUCGCACUGAGUGAUGCAAGAACAUCACCGAAAAUAGCGCCGAAUUUGCUAACAAGGUUGGUCGAUUUUUUCAAGCCGUCGCGCAGUGUACCUAGAAGUACACGAGCAACGGAAGUUAAAAAAUCGGGCAAGAUUGAACGCAAAGGCAAGCGGGACAUUUGAGGAUGGGGUGACUGCGUACCUUUUGUAUAAUGGGUCAGCGACUUAUAUUCUGUAGCAAGGUUAACCGUAUAGGGGAGCCGUAGGGAAACCGAGUCUUAACUGGGCGAAUGAGU